This 542-nucleotide long non-coding RNA is filed under the name Chinchilla lanigera (long-tailed chinchilla). RNAcentral describes it as "lncRNA (ENSCLAG00000026402.1)". The record is from RNAcentral. Lineage: Eukaryota; Metazoa; Chordata; Mammalia; Rodentia; Chinchillidae.
GUGUGUGUGCCUAUCAUGUCUACCUGCCAUGCUAGACUCUGGCAUUAGAGCUGGGGGCACAUCCAUCUCUGUUUAAGGAUGCCACUGUGGAGUAGGAGACACCUGUGGAUGAGAGAAUGUGCUGUGGAGCCCAGUGCAGGAUCUGACUCCGAGCCACUCCAUAAACCUUCCUCAAAGAAUACACGAAUACAGUAUGAAAAUUGCAUAGCUGUGGCAAAGAGUCCAUGAAGGGCCCACCAAGGCACAGGGGCCACUCCAUGCCAGGAAGGGGCAGCCACCCCAGGAGGAGUGUGCCAUCAGAGGCUUUCCCAGGAGAAGAGGCAGGCUGUCUCUCUGAAGGACAAGAUUUGUCAGAGUGAGGUGUGGAGCGGCUUGGGGAUGGGGACAGGUGUGUGGGGUCGGGGGGAGGUGAGCUGGUGGCAAGUUUCAGUUCUGGGGUGGGCGCAUGUUAGUAGCUGUGCUGUGCCUUUCUUAAUAAUCAUCUCCUAUCCCACAAGUGAACACAUGAUAAAUAAAUAAAAUGGAUACCCGCUUCAUCCAGG